CCUGCGGGCAAGUUUGGGAGAGAGGGCAGGGCGAGAGGAGCUCACUGAGGACUUCUCGGUUUAAAAGACAACAUCUCACAAUUUAACCCAGACAGGCCUGCAGUGCACUCAGUAGUAAUGCUGGCUUCUAACAAGGCCUUUGGAGGUGUGUAGUCUGUUCCACUAACACACAUUUCCCACCGUUCACCUGCAGAAGAUGUUCCUCAGAUUCCACACCCCGCUGACUCUAGGGAGAUUUGACCUGUGGUUUGCAGAGCCGCCAGGAGAUUAUGAAAAAAGGGCAAGAGGAAGCCAUCUUUGGUGACAACUUAUGAAGGUAGAGGGAUGCUUUUUUGGUUUUAGCUCCUGGCUAGACAGUGGAUUUGAGUCUUUGGCUAACAGAAACUUUAACUUUUGUCAU
This 400-nucleotide small RNA is filed under the name Rattus norvegicus (Norway rat). Its description in RNAcentral is "uncharacterized LOC102554702". Lineage: Eukaryota; Metazoa; Chordata; Mammalia; Rodentia; Muridae. The record is from RNAcentral.